Molecule: ribosomal RNA, 460 nt
Filed under: uncultured bacterium
Lineage: Bacteria
Description: partial 16S ribosomal RNA
Rfam family: Bacterial small subunit ribosomal RNA
Source: RNAcentral
CCUACGGGAGGCAGCAGUGAGGAAUAUUGGUCAAUGGGCGUAAGCCUGAACCAGCCAAGUCGCGUGAGGGAUGAAGGUUCUAUGGAUCGUAAACCUCUUUUAUAAGGGAAUAAAGUGUGGGACGUGUCCUAUUUUGUAUGUACCUUAUGAAUAAGGAUCGGCUAACUCCGUGCCAGCAGCCGCGGUAAGACGGAGGAUCCGAGCGUUAUCCGGAUUUAUUGGGUUUAACGGGUGCGUAGGCGGCCUUUUAAGUCAGCGGUGAAAGUCUGUGGCUCAACCAUAGAAUUGCCGUUGAAACUGGGGGGCUUGAGUGUGUUUGAGGCAGGCGGAAGGCGUGGUGUAGCGGUGAAAUGCUUAGAGAUCAGGCAGAACCCCGAUUGCGAAGGCAGCCUGCCAAGCAAUGACUGACGCUGAUGCACGAAAGCGUGGGGAUCAAACAGGAUUAGAUACCCUUGUAAUC